CUGUGCCUCACUGCCUUCUUCCCGCAGCAUAAAAGUAAGUUGCUGCAAGAGGACACUAGGACCGAGGCAACUGGAGGGUCCCUAUUGCGAACAGCACUGAAAUCUGUGGAGUCCUAAAGAGAUGCUGAGCCUAUUUUAUGAUUUAGGAAAUGCAGUUUUACAUGAAUUGUCGGGCUAUAAUGCCGAGCAAAAUAUGAAAGAUCGUUUGAAAGCUCAUUAUAAGAACUCAGAGGAGCUGAAAGAACUAAAACAAGUCAAGGAGAAGGAGAAAGUGAUUACCAGUUUACAAGCCCAACUUCACCAGGCACAGUCAGAACAAGCCGUGAAGUUGGGUAAGAAUUCGGUUGGGA
Molecule: long non-coding RNA, 350 nt
Organism: Microtus oregoni (creeping vole)
Lineage: Eukaryota; Metazoa; Chordata; Mammalia; Rodentia; Cricetidae
Exons: 5
Source: RefSeq, a predicted model, not a curated record